CUUGAGGUCUAUCCCGAUGUGGCUUCUCCUGUGGCCGCACAUCGUUGGAAACGCCUCAUAGAGUAACACUGUGGUUUUGCUUUGCUCACAGGUCUAUUUCUUAGGCCUGUGAUAAGGCACUACAAGACAGCA
Heterocephalus glaber (naked mole-rat) is the source of this 132-nucleotide small nucleolar RNA. NCBI's taxonomy places the organism in Eukaryota, Metazoa, Chordata, Mammalia, Rodentia, Bathyergidae. The record is from Ensembl.